ACACAGUUUAACAUGAUGGACUAUAGGACAGGACUGCUGCUGUUAACUAUCUGCUGGGCAGGUGUUGAUGGUCAGACUCUGACAGAAUCUGAACCAGUGGUUAAAAGGCCUGGAGAAUCUCACAGAUUGACCUGUACAGCCUCUGGAUUCACAUUCAGUGACUACCAUAUGGCCUGGAUCAGACAGGCUCCUGGAAAAGGACUGGAGUGGAUUGCCUGGGUGGAAAAUGAUAAUGACGGGAAACACUACUCUCAGUCAGUUCAAGGCCGGUUUACCAUCUCCAAAGACAACAGCAGACAGCAGGUGUAUCUGCAGAUGAACAGUCUGAAGACUGAAGAUUCUGCUGUUUAUUAUUGUGCUCGAC
Molecule: long non-coding RNA, 364 nt
Organism: Dicentrarchus labrax (European seabass)
Lineage: Eukaryota; Metazoa; Chordata; Actinopteri; Moronidae
Exons: 3
Source: RefSeq, a predicted model, not a curated record